AGCUCCAAGAGCGUAUAUUAAAGUUGUUGCAGUUAAAAAGCUCGUAGUUGGAUUUCUGGUACAACGCGCCUGGCCCGCAUUAUGUGAGUGCCGGUGCGCGUUUGCCAUCCUUCUAGAAAACGUUUCUACCUGGGCAACCGGGCCGGACUCGCGAUCUAGAUCUUUUACUUUGAAAAAAUUAGAGUGUUUAAAGCAGGCUUUUGCUGUGAAUACAUUAGCAUGGAAUAAUGAUCUAGGACUUCGGUUUUAUUUCGUUGGUUUCUAACACUGAAGUAAUGAUUGAUAGGGAUAGUUGGGGGUGCUAGUAUUGGCCGGCCAGAGGUGAAAUUCUUGGAUUCGGUCAAGACUAACUUAUGCGAAAGCAUUCACCAAGGAUGUCUUCUUUAAUCAAGAACGAAAG
This 400-nucleotide ribosomal RNA is filed under the name phytoplankton environmental sample. RNAcentral's name for it is "partial small subunit ribosomal RNA". It matches the Rfam family "Eukaryotic small subunit ribosomal RNA", at positions 587 to 989 of the family's 1831-position model. The record is from RNAcentral.